AGAAGAACAAAGCUCCUAGAGGUUAAAUUGACUCUAGUAGGGAGUCCGUUUCCCACGCGACUCCCUAAUCGAGUCAGGUUGAUUUCUUUGACGCUCUCUCUA
This 102-nucleotide microRNA precursor is filed under the name Manduca sexta (tobacco hornworm). RNAcentral's name for it is "microRNA mse-mir-929a precursor". Its record names the gene mse-mir-929a. The stretch from base 18 to 89 matches the Rfam family "mir-929 microRNA precursor family". Lineage: Eukaryota; Metazoa; Arthropoda; Insecta; Lepidoptera; Sphingidae. The record is from miRBase by way of RNAcentral.